RNAcentral lists this transfer RNA (69 nucleotides) under Winogradskyella arenosi. Lineage: Bacteria; Pseudomonadati; Bacteroidota; Flavobacteriia; Flavobacteriales; Flavobacteriaceae. The record is from Rfam by way of RNAcentral.
AUAGUUUAAAAAUUUAAAAAACUUUUGAUUGAAAUUCAUAACCCAGAGGUCACGAGUUCAAAUCUCGUU